Molecule: ribosomal RNA, 253 nt
Filed under: uncultured bacterium
Lineage: Bacteria
Description: partial 16S ribosomal RNA
Rfam family: Bacterial small subunit ribosomal RNA
Source: RNAcentral
UACAGAGGGGGCAAGCGUUGUUCGGAAUUACUGGGCGUAAAGGGCGCGUAGGCGGCCUUCUAAGUCAUGCGUGAAAUCCCCGGGCUCAACCCGGGAACUGCGUCUGAUACUGGAAGGCUUGAAUCCGGGAGAGGGAUGCGGAAUUCCAGGUGUAGCGGUGAAAUGCGUAGAUAUCUGGAGGAACACCGGUGGCGAAGGCGGCAUCCUGGACCGGUAUUGACGCUGAGGCGCGAAAGCCAGGGGAGCAAACGGG